UCCCUAGUGGUCCAGUGGUUAAGACUCUACACUCCCAAUGCAGAGGCCCAGGUUUGAUCCCUGGUCAGGGAA
Molecule: transfer RNA, 72 nt
Filed under: Bos taurus (domestic cattle)
Lineage: Eukaryota; Metazoa; Chordata; Mammalia; Artiodactyla; Bovidae
Also listed under: 2 other names
Rfam family: tRNA
About the family: Transfer RNA (tRNA) molecules are approximately 80 nucleotides in length. Their secondary structure includes four short double-helical elements and three loops (D, anti-codon, and T loops).
Source: Rfam by way of RNAcentral